UCCUACGGGAGGCAGCAGUAGGGAAUAUUGGUCAAUGGAGGCAACUCUGAACCAGCCAUGCCGCGUGCAGGAUGACGGCCCUCUGGGUUGUAAACUGCUUUUAUACGGGAAGAAAAAAUACUACGUGUAGUAUAUUGACGUUACCGUAAGAAUAAGGAUCGGCUAACUCCGUGCCAGCAGCCGCGGUAAUAU
This 192-nucleotide ribosomal RNA is filed under the name uncultured Bacteroidota bacterium. Its description in RNAcentral is "uncultured Bacteroidetes bacterium partial 16S ribosomal RNA". It matches the Rfam family "Bacterial small subunit ribosomal RNA", at positions 337 to 526 of the family's 1533-position model. Lineage: Bacteria; Pseudomonadati; Bacteroidota. The record is from RNAcentral.